CAGCCGCCGCGGUAAUACGUAGGUGGCAAGCGUUGUCCGGAAUCAUUGGGCGUAAAGGGCUCGCAGGCGGUUUCUUAAGUCUGAUGUGAAAGCCCCCGGCUCAACCGGGGAGGGUCAUUGGAAACUGGGAAACUUGAGUGCAGAAGAGGAGAGUGGAAUUCCACGUGUAGCGGUGAAAUGCGUAGAGAUGUGGAGGAACACCAGUGGCGAAGGCGACUCUCUGGUCUGUAACUGACGCUGAGGAGCGAAAGCGUGGGGAGCGAACAGGAUUAGAUACCCCGGUAGUCCCUGUCUCUUAUAC
This 301-nucleotide ribosomal RNA is filed under the name uncultured bacterium. RNAcentral's name for it is "partial 16S ribosomal RNA". It matches the Rfam family "Bacterial small subunit ribosomal RNA", at positions 509 to 807 of the family's 1533-position model. The record is from RNAcentral.